CUGUAUUCUACAGUGCAUGUGUCUCCAGUGUGUCUAUGCUACUGGAGAUGCAGCCCUGUUGGAAUAAC
This is a microRNA precursor of Astyanax mexicanus (Mexican tetra), 68 nucleotides long. It matches the Rfam family "mir-139 microRNA precursor family". The record is from Rfam. NCBI's taxonomy places the organism in Eukaryota, Metazoa, Chordata, Actinopteri, Characiformes, Acestrorhamphidae.